Molecule: small nuclear RNA, 99 nt
Organism: Juglans microcarpa x Juglans regia
Lineage: Eukaryota; Viridiplantae; Streptophyta; Magnoliopsida; Fagales; Juglandaceae
Source: RefSeq, a predicted model, not a curated record
GUCUUUCCGGAGACAUUUGAUAAAAUUUGAACGAUACAGAGAAGAUUAACAUGGCUUAUGCAAGGAGGACACACAAAUUGGGAAAUUGUCCAAAUGUUU